This 951-nucleotide non-coding RNA is filed under the name Helostoma temminkii (kissing gourami). Its description in RNAcentral is "12S ribosomal RNA". It matches the Rfam family "Bacterial small subunit ribosomal RNA". Lineage: Eukaryota; Metazoa; Chordata; Actinopteri; Anabantiformes; Helostomatidae. The record is from RNAcentral.
CAAAGGUUUGGUCCUGACUUUUCUAUCGACUAUAGCUAAACUUACACAUGCAAGUAUCCGCACCCCCGUGAGAAUGCCCAAACAGUGCCCCGCCCGGGAACAAGGAGCUGGUAUCAGGCACAAAUACAUUUAGCCCACGACACCUCGCUCAGCCACACCCUCAAGGGAUUUCAGCAGUGAUAAACAUUAAGCCAUAAGUGAAAACUUGACUUAGUUAAAGCUAAGAGGGCCGGUAAACCUCGUGCCAGCCACCGCGGUUAUACGAGGGGCCCAAGCUGAUAGACCACGGCGUAAAGAGUGGUUAAGAAAAGAAACAAACUAAAGCCGAACGCUUCCAAGGCUGUUAUACGCUUUCGAAAGUAAGAAGCUCAACUACGAAAGUGGCUUUAAAUUAUCUGACCCCACGAAAGCUAGGGCACAAACUGGGAUUAGAUACCCCACUAUGCCUAGCCGUAAACAUUGACAGCACAAUACAUAGGCUGUCCGCCUGGAGAUUACGAGCAGUAGCUUAAAACUCAAAGGACUUGGCGGUGCUUAACAUCCAUCUAGAGGAGCCUGUUCUAGAACCGAUAAUCCCCGUUCAACCUCACCCUCUCUUGUUCCUUCCCGCCUAUAUACCGCCGUCGUCAGCUUACCUUGUGAAAGACUAAUAGUAAGCAAAAUUGGCUCAGCCCAAAACGCCAGGUCGAGGUGUAGCGUAUGAGAGGGGAAGAAAUGGGCUACAUUCACUAAAAUAGUGAAUACGGAUAAUGUACUGAAAUAAUACAUUUGAAGGAGGAUUUAGCAGUAAGCAGAAAACAGAGUGUUCUGCUGAAGAUGGCACUAAAGCGCGCACAUACCGCCCGUCACUCUCUCCGAGCACUAAAAAUACAAAUAACUAAUGCCCUACAACUGCAAAGGAGAGGCAAGUCGUAACAUGGUAAGUGUACCGGAAGGUGCACUUGGAAAAAU